This is a non-coding RNA of Clarias gariepinus (North African catfish), 518 nucleotides long. The record is from the annotation of a RefSeq genome assembly. Lineage: Eukaryota; Metazoa; Chordata; Actinopteri; Siluriformes; Clariidae.
GCAAAUACAUGCAUCAGGGCUGGAUAUCACUCAAUUUAUGUGAUGUGUUGGUCUCUGUUAAACUUUGGAGAACAGAGAAGACGAACAACACACACCAUGUUCUUUACAUCUUUACUGCUCCUGUUGGCAGCUGCUUCCUAUGUCCACAGUUAUGAACUGACUCAGCCUGCUGCCAUGACAGUCCAGCCAGGCCAGAGUCUCUCCAUCCCCUGUAAGGUUUCUUAUUCAGUUACAAGUGAGGCUACAGCUUGGAUUCGACAACCUGCGGGAAAAGCUCUAGAGUGGAUUGGAAGCAUCUAUUAUAAUGGAAAUACAGAUUACAGUGACAAACUGAAAAAUAGGUUUAGUGUCUCCAGAGACACUUCUACUAACACAAUAACAAUUCGAGGACAGAAUCUGCAAACUGAAGACACAGCUGUGUAUUACUGCGCCAGAGAGUCACAGUGAUACAGAACAGUGGAUUCCCCUUACAAAAACCUUGAGGCAUUUUAGAAACAUACUCUCAAUGCAAAUAAUAA